CUGAUCAUCGAUGGGAGAGAGGUGACUUAAUUGAUCAUGUCCUUGAAGUCAACGGGAAAAUUCAACAGGUCAUAUGGAAUGGUCGUCCUAUGUCACAGUCAGAGAUGGUGCGAUUUUUCAUAAACACUCUUCUACCUGAAUGGCAAGAUGUGUUGAAUCGCAUAUGGGAUGUCAACGGAGCUGCUUCCUAUAAGAAAAUUGUGAUGGAUUUUGUAAAUGAAUAUUACUGUAUUGUUUCAAGGGAAAAGAUUAAGAAAUUGAACAAAAGAG
RNAcentral lists this long non-coding RNA (270 nucleotides) under Eucalyptus grandis. Its description in RNAcentral is "long non-coding RNA (EGRA_LNC007454)". The record is from RNAcentral. Lineage: Eukaryota; Viridiplantae; Streptophyta; Magnoliopsida; Myrtales; Myrtaceae.